Molecule: non-coding RNA, 951 nt
Organism: Plectropomus leopardus (leopard coralgrouper)
Lineage: Eukaryota; Metazoa; Chordata; Actinopteri; Perciformes; Serranidae
Source: RefSeq, a predicted model, not a curated record
AUUGAUCGAUUAUUGAUGAUUGAUAACCGAUCGGGCCGCGGGCAGGACGACACGUGUCUCAGACUUUUCAUAGUUUUAUUUAUAUUCUGUUGUAGUCUAUAAUUUGAUAUUAUUUAAAGUGCCGAUUCAGUUUACUGCAGCUCGUGUUUUCGAUGAUUGAGACCCGAUCAGUUGCCGUAUCGAUCACAGCUGCUGUGCUGUGAGCAGCAAGCAGCUUCAGUGAAGAAGAAGAAGAAGGCCAAGAAAGUCAGUGAAGAAGAAGUUGGGGAAAUCCAGCAGAGCGGAGACUUCUUCAUCCAACCAGAGUCCAAGGUCGCCUCUCUGGACACGUCACAGUGGCCCCUCCUACUGAAGGUAACACACCUGAGUUCACCUGUUCCACUAACACACACCUGAGGUCACCUGUGACACCUGCGCAGGUGAGGUUCACAGGACUUUAAUAUGUCACUGUAUUCAAAUUGAAACGAUUGGCGGUCAUCAGGACAGGAAGUGAUGUCAUCUUAAACUGCUGGUGAUGGUUUUUGUAAUUAAAUGUUGUUUUUCCAGUAAAAUAUUACUGUGAACGAACACAGGAAGUGAGUCGGUGAAGGUAAACAGACUACGGCUAGCUGAGAGGGACAAAAGUCAUUUUAUUCAUGAAGCUCAAUAUCACAAAUAGUUUUUUUCUGAUUUAUUGACUCAAGCAUCAAAAACAAAAAAAACUGAGUGUGUGUUUUAAACAUUACUGAUCCUCAGCGUGUGAAGUGAUGAAUCAGUUUAUCCAUUCUCUGAGCGGCCAUCUUGUCUGGUCAUCACCUCUGCUCCCGUUCUGGGGGCGGGGCCUCUCCGCCGUGGUACCGGCGUUGUACCGGCGUUCUGCCAGACAGCGACCCGAAACUGCACGGAGAGUGAGACUUGACAUGACCGCUGCCGAGACGAGUUCCUGCUCUGAUCACAUGAUGCUGAGAUUUA